GACGAACGCUGGCGGCGUGCUUAACACAUGCAAGUCGUACGGUAAGGCCCUUUCGGGGGUACACGAGUGGCGUACGGGCGAGUAACGCGUGAGUAACCUGCCCACAACUUUGGGAUAACGCUAGGAAACUGGUGCUAAUACUGGAUAUGUGCUCCUGCUGCAUGGUGGGGGUUGGAAAGCUCCGGCGGUUGUGGAUGGACUCGCGGCCUAUCAGCUUGUUGGUGGGGUAGUGGCCUACCAAGGCGGCGGCGGGUAGCCGGCCUGGGGGGGUGACCGGCCACAAUGGGACUGAGGGACGGAGCAGACGCGUACGGGAGGCAGCAGGGGGGAAUAUUGCACAAUGGGCGCAAGCCUGAUGCAGCAACGCCGCGUGCGGGAUGACGGCCUUCGGGUUGUAAACCGCUUUCAGCAGGGACGAAGCUUUUUGUGACGGUACCUGCAGAAGAAGCACCGGCUAACUACGUG
RNAcentral lists this ribosomal RNA (465 nucleotides) under uncultured bacterium. RNAcentral describes it as "partial 16S ribosomal RNA". It matches the Rfam family "Bacterial small subunit ribosomal RNA", at positions 28 to 507 of the family's 1533-position model. The record is from RNAcentral.